GUACGUACGCUGGCGGCGUGCCUAAUACAUGCAAGUCGAACGAACUCUGGUAUUGAUUGGUGCUUGCAUCAUGAUUUACAUUUGAGUGAGUGGCGAACUGGUGAGUAACACGUGGGAAACCUGCCCAGAAGCGGGGGAUAACACCUGGAAACAGAUGCUAAUACCGCAUAACAACUUGGACCGCAUGGUCCGAGCUUGAAAGAUGGCUUCGGCUAUCACUUUUGGAUGGUCCCGCGGCGUAUUAGCUAGAUGGUGGGGUAACGGCUCACCAUGGCAAUGAUACGUAGCCGACCUGAGAGGGUAAUCGGCCACAUUGGGACUGAGACACGGCCCAAACUCCUACGGGAGGCAGCAGUAGGGAAUUCUUCCACAAUGGACGAAAGUCUGAUGGAGCAACGCCGCGUGAGUGAAGAAGGGUUUCGGCUCGUAAAACUCUGUUGUUAAAGAAGAACAUAUCUGAGAGUAACUGUUCAGGUAUUGACGGUAUUUAACCAGAAAGCCACGGCUAACUACGUGCCAGCAGCCGCGGUAAUACGUAGGUGGCAAGCGUUGUCCCGGAUUUAUUGGGCGUAAAGCGAGCGCAGGCGGUUUUUUAAGUCUGAUGUGAAAGCCUUUCGGCUCAACCGAAGAAGUGCAUCGGAAACUGGGAAACUUGAGUGCAGAAGAGGACAGUGGAACUCCAUGUGUAGCGGUGAAAUGCGUAGAUAUAUGGAAGAACACCAGUGGCGAAGGCGGCUGUCUGGUCUGUAACUGACGCUGAGGCUCGAAAGUAUGGGUAGCAAACAGGAUUAGAUACCCUGGUAGUCCAUACCGUAAACGAUGAAUGCUAAGUGUUGGAGGGUUUCCGCCCUUCAGUGCUGCAGCUAACGCAUUAAGCAUUCCGCCUGGGGAGUACGGCCGCAAGGCUGAAACUCAAAGGAAUUGACGGGGGCCCGCACAAGCGGUGGAGCAUGUGGUUUAAUUUCGAAGCUACGGCGAAGAACCUUACCAGGUCUUGACAUACUAUGCAAAUCUAAGAGAUUAGACGUUUCCCUUCGGGGACAUGGAUACAGGUGGUGCAUGGUUGUCGUCAGCUCGUGUCGUGAGAUGUUGGGUUAAGUCCCGCAACGAGCGCAACCCUUAUUAUCAGUUGCCAGCAUUAAAGUUGGGCACUCUGGUGAGACUGCCGGUGACAAACCGGAGGAAGGUGGGGAUGACGUCAAAUCAUCAUGCCCCUUAUGACCUGGGCUACACACGUGCUACAAUGGAUGGUACAACGAGUUGCGAACUCGCGAGAGUAAGCUAAUCUCUUAAAGCCAUUCUCAGUUCGGAUUGUAGGCUGCAACUCGCCUACAUGAAGUCGGAAUCGCUAGUAAUCGCGGAUCAGCAUGCCGCGGUGAAUACGUUCCCGGGCCUUGUACACACCGCCCGUCACACCAUGAGAGUUUGUAACACCCAAAGUCGGUGGGGUAACCUUUUAGGAACCAGCCGCCUAAGGUGGGACAGAUGAUUAGGGGAAGUCGAC
RNAcentral lists this ribosomal RNA (1504 nucleotides) under Lactiplantibacillus plantarum. Its description in RNAcentral is "bacterial SSU rRNA". It matches the Rfam family "Bacterial small subunit ribosomal RNA". The record is from RNAcentral. Lineage: Bacteria; Bacillati; Bacillota; Bacilli; Lactobacillales; Lactobacillaceae.